This 449-nucleotide ribosomal RNA is filed under the name uncultured bacterium. RNAcentral describes it as "partial 16S ribosomal RNA". It matches the Rfam family "Bacterial small subunit ribosomal RNA", at positions 29 to 523 of the family's 1533-position model. The record is from RNAcentral.
AACGAACGCUGGCGGCAUGCCUAACACAUGCAAGUCGAACGAGACCUUCGGGUUUAGUGGCGCACGGGUGCGUAACGCGUGGGAAUCUGCCCUUCGGUUGGGAAUAACUGAGAGAAAUUUCAGCUAAUACCUUAUAAUGUCUUCGGACCAAAGAUUUAUCGCCGAGGGAUGAGCCCGCGUAGGAUUAGGUAGUUGGUGGGGUAAUGGCCUACCAAGCCGACGAUCCUUAGCUGGUCUGAGAGGAUGAUCAGCCACACUGGGACUGAGACACGGCCCAGACUCCUACGGGAGGCAGCAGUGGGGAAUAUUGGACAAUGGGCGAAAGCUUGAUCCAGCAAUGCCGCGUGAGUGAUGAAGGCCUUAGGGUUGUAAAGCUCUUUUACCAGGGAUGAUAAUGACAGUACCUGGAGAAUAAGCUCCGGCUAACUCCGUGCCAGCCGCCGCGGUAA